AACGAUGGCUUAGAAAAUCCUACUUGCGGUCUUACAUAUGAAAAUGGAAAUUCUAUUCCUUUUAGUCAGGGCUUCUGUUGUUCGUGCAAUUCCGAAAUAAAUGCAUCGCGUCAGUUGAGAAAAGAAUCCAACAAAUCGGCUGGAAAUUUUUCAUCCGAGAUAAAAA
RNAcentral lists this long non-coding RNA (166 nucleotides) under Polistes fuscatus (common paper wasp). RNAcentral's name for it is "uncharacterized LOC122526038". The record is from RNAcentral. Lineage: Eukaryota; Metazoa; Arthropoda; Insecta; Hymenoptera; Vespidae.